AGCGAACGCUGGCGGCAGGCCUAACACAUGCAAGUCGAACGAACCUUUCGGGGUUAGUGGCGGACGGGUGAGUAACACGUGGGAACGUGCCUUUAGGUUCGGAAUAACUCAGGGAAACUUGUGCUAAUACCGAAUGUGCCCUUCGGGGGAAAGAUUAAUCGCCUUUAGAUCGGCCCGCGUCUGAUUAGCUAGUUGGUUGAGGUAAUGGCUCACCAAGGCGACGAUCAGUAGCUGGUCUGAGAGGAUGAUCAGCCACAUUGGGACUGAGACACGGCCCAAACUCCUACGGGAGGCAGCAGUGGGGAAUAUUGCGCAAUGGGCGAAAGCCUGACGCAGCCAUGCCGCGUGAAUGAUGAAGGUCUUAGGAUUGUAAAAUUCUUUCACCGGGGACGAUAAUGACGGUACCCGGAGAAGAAGCCCCGGCUAACUUCGUG
Molecule: ribosomal RNA, 434 nt
Filed under: uncultured bacterium
Lineage: Bacteria
Description: partial 16S ribosomal RNA
Rfam family: Bacterial small subunit ribosomal RNA
Source: RNAcentral